GUGCCAGCAGCCGCGGUAAUACGGAGGAUGCGAGUGUUAUCCGGAUUCAUUGGGUUUAAAGGGUGCGUAGGCGGAAUAUUAAGUCAGCGAUGAAAUCCUGCAGCUUAACUGUAGAACUGUCAUUGAUACUGGUAUUCUUGAAUGCAGUUGAGGUAGGCGGAAUGUGUAAUGUAGCGGUGAAAUGCUUAGAUAUUACACAGAACACCGAUUGCGAAGGCAGCUUACUAAACUGUGAUUGACGCUGAGGCACGAAAGCGUGGGGAGCAAACAGGAUUAGAAACCCCCGUAGUCC
RNAcentral lists this ribosomal RNA (292 nucleotides) under uncultured bacterium. RNAcentral's name for it is "partial 16S ribosomal RNA". It matches the Rfam family "Bacterial small subunit ribosomal RNA", at positions 505 to 796 of the family's 1533-position model. The record is from RNAcentral.